GGUGAGAUGGCCGAGUUGGUAUGUUCAUCAUCCAUUCCCACACCAAAACCUCGACUAACAGUCCUAGGUUAUGGCGCCAGGUUAAGGUCUACUUAACACUAUUUCCUGGUCACGUAUGUGGCGUGGGUUCGAGUCCCACUCUCAUCA
This is a non-coding RNA of Karstenula rhodostoma CBS 690.94, 147 nucleotides long. The record is from the annotation of a GenBank genome assembly. Lineage: Eukaryota; Fungi; Ascomycota; Dothideomycetes; Pleosporales; Didymosphaeriaceae.